Molecule: ribosomal RNA, 192 nt
Filed under: uncultured Enterobacterales bacterium
Lineage: Bacteria; Pseudomonadati; Pseudomonadota; Gammaproteobacteria; Enterobacterales
Description: partial 16S ribosomal RNA
Rfam family: Bacterial small subunit ribosomal RNA
Source: RNAcentral
GGGAUAACUACUGUAAACGGUAGCUAAUACCGCAUAACGUCUCCGGACCAAAGUGGGGGACCUUCGGGCCUCACACCAUCGGAUGUGCCCAGAUGGGAUUAGCUUGUAGGUGGGGUAAUGGCUCACCUAGGCGACGAUCCCUAGCUGGUCUGAGAGGAUGACCAGCCACACUGGAACUGAGACACGGUCCAG